GUGGGGAAUCUUGCGCAAUGGGCGAAAGCCUGACGCAGCCAUGCCGCGUGAAUGAUGAAGGUCUUAGGAUUGUAAAAUUCUUUCACCGGGGACGAUAAUGACGGUACCCGGAGAAGAAGCUCCGGCUAACUUCGUGCCAGCAGCCGCGGGAAUACGAAGGGGGCUAGCGUUGCUCGGAAUUACUGGGCGUAAAGGGCGCGUUGGCGGACAGCUUAGUCAGAGGUGAAAGCCCAGGGCUCAACCUUGGAAUUGCCUUUGGUACUGGCUGUCUUGAGUUUGGGAGAGGUGAGUGGAACUCCGAGUGUAGAGGUGAAAUUCGUAGAUAUUCGGAAGAACACCAGUGGCGAAGGCGACUCACUAGACCAAUACUGACGCUGAGGCGCGAAAGCGUGGGGAGCAAACAGGAUUAGAAACCCUAGUAGUCC
RNAcentral lists this ribosomal RNA (425 nucleotides) under uncultured bacterium. Its description in RNAcentral is "partial 16S ribosomal RNA". It matches the Rfam family "Bacterial small subunit ribosomal RNA", at positions 354 to 796 of the family's 1533-position model. The record is from RNAcentral.